RNAcentral lists this transfer RNA (77 nucleotides) under Alphaproteobacteria bacterium. RNAcentral describes it as "tRNA-Pro". It matches the Rfam family "tRNA". Rfam says of the family: Transfer RNA (tRNA) molecules are approximately 80 nucleotides in length. Their secondary structure includes four short double-helical elements and three loops (D, anti-codon, and T loops). Further hydrogen bonds mediate the characteristic L-shaped molecular structure. tRNAs have two regions of fundamental functional importance: the anti-codon, which is responsible for specific mRNA codon recognition, and the 3' end, to which the tRNAs corresponding amino acid is attached (by aminoacyl-tRNA synthetases). tRNAs cope with the degeneracy of the genetic code in two manners: having more than one tRNA (with a specific anti-codon) for a particular amino acid; and 'wobble' base-pairing, i.e. permitting non-standard base-pairing at the 3rd anti-codon position. Lineage: Bacteria; Pseudomonadati; Pseudomonadota; Alphaproteobacteria. The record is from RNAcentral.
CGGAGUGUAGCGCAGCCCGGUAGCGCACUUGUCUGGGGGACAAGGGGUCGUCGGUUCAAAUCCGGCCACUCCGACCA